GUUAGGAAUAUUGGACAAUGGGCGCAAGCCUGAUCCGGCCAUGCCGCGUGAGUGAUGAAGGCCUUCGGGUUGUAAAGCUCUUUAGUCCACGAAUAUAAUGACUGUAGUGGAAGAAUAAGCCCCGGCUAACUUCGUGCCAGCAGCCGCGGUAAUACGAAGGGGGCGAGCGUUAUUCGGAAUCACUGGGCGUAAAGCGUGCGUAGGCUGUUUUGUAAGUCAGAAGUGAAAGCCCAGGGCUUAACCCUGGAAUUGCUUUUGAAACUACAAGACUCGAAUUCGGGAGAGGAUAGCGGAAUUGUCAGUGUAGCAGUGAAAUGCGUAGAUAUUGACAGGAACACCAGUGGCGCAAGCGGCUAUCUGGACCGAUAUUGACGCUGAGGCACGAAAGCGUGGGGAGCAAACAGGAUUAGAUACCCGAGUAGUCC
This 425-nucleotide ribosomal RNA is filed under the name uncultured bacterium. RNAcentral's name for it is "partial 16S ribosomal RNA". It matches the Rfam family "Bacterial small subunit ribosomal RNA", at positions 354 to 796 of the family's 1533-position model. The record is from RNAcentral.